This is a long non-coding RNA of Ictalurus punctatus (channel catfish), 2433 nucleotides long. NCBI's taxonomy places the organism in Eukaryota, Metazoa, Chordata, Actinopteri, Siluriformes, Ictaluridae. The record is from Ensembl.
AUAUGAUUGAUGAUGACCUUUGACCUAGACCUGUCAAAAUAAGGUUUUAGGAAAUAUACAAACUAUUUCUCACUCUCUUGUGUCUGCACAGUUGUAUGUGUGUCCUUGCAAACUUCCGUUCACCUCUAUCUCACUUUCCCAGCAUGUCACGCUCCAGAUUUAUGGCGAGGCCCCGUGAUUGCCUCCAACACCAGGCGAACCUCAGUUCUAUCCAUCAUAAACAGAGUUGUUUUAUUUAUUUCUUUAUUUUAAAGCCUUCAUUAUGGCCGUUAAUGAUCGCUGUGCUCAGGAUUUAAAGAUAUAUUAUGCAAAAUCAGAGAAACAAACCUCAUUAUAAUUAAUCAAGCAUGCAUCAAGCCGUCAUGGCGGUAAAUAAAUUCUCCCAGCUAACACACUUGAGGAUUAAGAUUGCUUUUGCUAAUUUAAUCAGCGGUGUAAUAAUUUGCGCUCCAGACAGUGCUGACAGAGAAACCGAGCGAAACUAUUAAUUGUGCCGCGUUCCUCGUUUACUUUCAGUGCCAGGAAACUUCUCAGAGAUCCAGGGGAAUGGCCGCAAGUCUUUGAGCUGUGGGUAACGUCAGUCUUUAAUGGACGGCUUUUGCAUUAUUUAAUUCGAUUUAAUCCAACUUAACAUUGCAUCUAUAUAUAUAUAUAUAUAAUCAAAGCACAAAGACGAUAAAAAAAAACAUGACACUGAUAAACUGAGCUCAAAUCGUCUGGCUAGUCUACAGUGAAGUGUAAUUGUUUCCACUUAGGUUCCUGAACCAUCCAAGGAACUAAAGAGUUCCUGUUCCUGCAGUUCCAUAUGGGAAAUAACAUUGUGAUGUCAUUCUGCAGCCAGCAAAAGCAGGAAAGACGGCAAAGUUAGGUUUUUAUUAAGAGCUGUGUUGUUGUGUGAAUAUGAUGUUAACAUUAAUCUAGAUUUUCAAACCAUCUGCAUGCACCCAGGAUGCAAUCAAACAUUUAAACAUCAGUUAAACACUGGAUAAAAGAGUACAGAAAGCCCCACCCCCAAUAGUACUGCCCAAUUCAAAGAAAUGUACCGACCCUGGAACAGGACAUAAUAAGGUUACUAACAGAUGGGGUUUUAAAAUUGGUCCCAGUUUCAGUGGUGGAAAUGUGGCACAAACAUCUAGAGUUCCAGGAAGGGUUCUUGGGUUCCUUACUUUUUUGUUUCGUCAGUAGGAAUGUGGCUACAGUUCUUGACUCACAGAAAAGUUCCUGAUUAUCUGAAAAUGUUCCUCCACUAGAAACAUAAAGUUGGCCUAAAGUAGUGGUCUAAUGUUUCUGAAUCUCUGCAUUCCAGAAAAGGUUCCUCUGGUGUAAGCGUGCCGAAAUUUUCAGACUUCCUGAGUUCCUAAGUGACAGAAUAGUUCCUGAUUUCCCCAAAAAGAUCCACGUCUAGAAACAUGCCUAACAUUUCCGAUUUUCUGAGCUCAUGAAAAAGUUCCCGAUUUCCACUAUGGACAUGUCUGAGGUGUCGGAUCUUCUGGCUUCCUGAAAAGGUUCCGUUAAAGGUUUCUGUGUUUGACAUGUUUCUAAAGUUUCUGACUUCUUGAAAAGUUCCUGAGUUGGUUCCUGUAGUAAAAAUGCAGGAAGAGUUUCUGAGUUCCUGAAAAGGUUACUAAGGUAAAGAAAAUGCUCAGAUGAACUUUGUUCCUCCAUUUUCACCAAGCUAAGUGAAAUUUUAGUUCUUAAAAUGGCGGCAGUGUGUUCAUCCACACAUGCGUGUGUGUGUGUGUGUGUGUGUGUGUGUGUGUGUGUGUGUGUGUGUGUGUGUGAUGAAGUAGCAACAAACCUUGCUGCUGGAAGAAGACAGACUUUUGUCUGUGAGUCAGUGAACCUCGUCCAAAUGAACACUAGAGGGCAGAGUGACUCUGUUUCAGUUUCAGUGAGGUGGGUGAAAGCUAGUGAUGGAACAUUUAAAGGUUGCUGCAGUCUCUUUCAGGACAAAAAAAAACCCCAAAAGGUUAUAAAUACAAAAUGAUAAAAAAAAAAAAUAAUAAUAAUAAAAAAAAUGACAAUACAACCAGAUUAAAGUUAAUGCUCUGUGUUUGUGACCAGAAGGUUGUGAAGAGAGAGAGAGAGAGAGAGAGAGAGAGAGAGAGAGAGAGAGAUUGGAGUCUACCUCAGUAAUUACUCAUUUUAAAUAAAAUCUCUGGUCAUUAGGUGAAUGUUAAUGAAACCAGAUUGAGCGUUUUAUGACCGAUCUAUCUGACCGAUAGAGUUAAGUGCAAAAAUUUGCACAGUUUUUUAAUGGAAAUGUUUAUUUUACAAUUUAUCUACAAAAAUUUGAAUUACAAGAUGUUUUAUAUGUAAUGGACUUUCCACAUGCAGAUUACGUGUUUUAAUAUUUUUUUUUUUCAGAUUUAUUUCUUUUCAAAUCAUUCAUUUAUUUGCACGUGAUUUUUUCAAACGAUUCAUUUAUCUGCA